Molecule: non-coding RNA, 109 nt
Filed under: Oceanobacillus iheyensis
Lineage: Bacteria; Bacillati; Bacillota; Bacilli; Caryophanales; Bacillaceae
Also listed under: 1 other name
Description: SAM-I sequence
Rfam family: SAM riboswitch aptamer (S box leader)
About the family: The SAM riboswitch is found upstream of a number of genes which code for proteins involved in methionine or cysteine biosynthesis in Gram-positive bacteria.
Source: RNAcentral
AUCUUAUCCUGAGAGGUGGAGGGAAAUGGCCCAAAGAAGCCUCGGCAACAGGUUCUAGCUUGAAUACUGUGCCAAAUCCAUCAAGUAUUCUAUGCUUGGUAGAUAAGAG